This 251-nucleotide ribosomal RNA is filed under the name uncultured bacterium. RNAcentral describes it as "partial 16S ribosomal RNA". It matches the Rfam family "Bacterial small subunit ribosomal RNA", at positions 524 to 776 of the family's 1533-position model. The record is from RNAcentral.
GACGAAGGGGCUAGCGUUGUUCGGAAUUACUGGGCGUAAAGGGCGCGUAGGCGGUUCCUUAAGUCAGGCGUGAAAGCCCUGGGCUCAACCUGGGAGUGGCGCUUGAUACUGAGGAACUAGAGAGUGGGAGAGGUUGGUGGAAUUCCCAGUGUAGAGGUGAAAUUCGUAGAUAUUGGGAAGAACACCGGUGGCGAAGGCGGCCAACUGGACCAUUCUGACGCUGAGGCGCGAAAGCGUGGGGAGCAAACAGG